This 583-nucleotide ribosomal RNA is filed under the name uncultured Arcobacter sp. Its description in RNAcentral is "bacterial SSU rRNA". It matches the Rfam family "Bacterial small subunit ribosomal RNA", at positions 69 to 669 of the family's 1533-position model. The record is from RNAcentral. Lineage: Bacteria; Pseudomonadati; Campylobacterota; Epsilonproteobacteria; Campylobacterales; Arcobacteraceae.
AGAUUAGCUUGCUAUAACUGUCAGCUAAGUGGCGCACGGGUGAGUAAUGUAUAGAUAACCUGCCCUCUAGAAAGGAAUAACAGUUGGAAACGACUGCUAAUGCCCUAUAUGCCUUUAAUACAUAAGUAUGCAAGGGAAACGCUUUAGUGCUAGAGGAUGGGUCUGUAUGGUAUCAGCUUGUUGGUGAGGUAAUGGCCCACCAAGGCUAUGACGCCUAACUGGUUUGAGAGGAUGAUCAGUCACACUGGAACUGAGACACGGUCCAGACUCCUACGGGAGGCAGCAGUGGGGAAUAUUGCACAAUGGACGAAAGUCUGAUGCAGCAACGCCGCGUGGAGGAUGACACAUUUCGGUGCGUAAACUCCUUUUAUAUAGGAAGAUAAUGACGGUACUAUAUGAAUAAGCACCGGCUAACUCCGUGCCAGCAGCCGCGGUAAUACGGAGGGUGCAAGCGUUACUCGGAAUCACUGGGCGUAAAGAGCGUGUAGGCGGGUAUAUAAGUCAGAAGUGAAAUCCAAUAGCUUAACUAUUGAACUGCUUUUGAAACUGUAUACCUAGAAUGUGGGAGAGGUAGAUGGAAUUU